This 253-nucleotide ribosomal RNA is filed under the name uncultured bacterium. RNAcentral describes it as "partial 16S ribosomal RNA". It matches the Rfam family "Bacterial small subunit ribosomal RNA", at positions 524 to 776 of the family's 1533-position model. The record is from RNAcentral.
UACGGGGGGGGCAAGCGUUGUUCGGAAUUACUGGGCGUAAAGCGUGCGCAGGCGGUUUUGUAAGCCAGAUGUGAAAUCCCCGGGCUUAACCUGGGAAUGGCAUUUGGGACUGCAAGGCUCGAGUGCGGCAGAGGAGACUGGAAUUCCUGGUGUAGCAGUGAAAUGCGUAGAUAUCAGGAGGAACACCGAUGGCGAAGGCAGGUCUCUGGGCUGACACUGACGCUCAUGCACGAAAGCGUGGUGAGCAAACAGG